This 912-nucleotide ribosomal RNA is filed under the name Staphylococcus aureus. RNAcentral's name for it is "partial 23S ribosomal RNA". It matches the Rfam family "Bacterial large subunit ribosomal RNA", at positions 533 to 1452 of the family's 2925-position model. The record is from RNAcentral. Lineage: Bacteria; Bacillati; Bacillota; Bacilli; Caryophanales; Staphylococcaceae.
GGGGAGUGAAAUAGAACCUGAAACCGUGUGCUUACAAGUAGUCAGAGCCCGUUAAUGGGUGAUGGCGUGCCUUUUGUAGAAUGAACCGGCGAGUUACGAUUUGAUGCAAGGUUAAGCAGUAAAUGUGGAGCCGUAGCGAAAGCGAGUCUGAAUAGGGCGUUUAGUAUUUGGUCGUAGACCCGAAACCAGGUGAUCUACCCUUGGUCAGGUUGAAGUUCAGGUAACACUGAAUGGAGGACCGAACCGACUUACGUUGAAAAGUGAGCGGAUGAACUGAGGGUAGCGGAGAAAUUCCAAUCGAACCUGGAGAUAGCUGGUUCUCUCCGAAAUAGCUUUAGGGCUAGCCUCAAGUGAUGAUUAUUGGAGGUAGAGCACUGUUUGGACGAGGGGCCCCUCUCGGGUUACCGAAUUCAGACAAACUCCGAAUGCCAAUUAAUUUAACUUGGGAGUCAGAACAUGGGUGAUAAGGUCCGUGUUCGAAAGGGAAACAGCCCAGACCACCAGCUAAGGUCCCAAAAUAUAUGUUAAGUGGAAAAGGAUGUGGCGUUGCCCAGACAACUAGGAUGUUGGCUUAGAAGCAGCCAUCAUUUAAAGAGUGCGUAAUAGCUCACUAGUCGAGUGACACUGCGCCGAAAAUGUACCGGGGCUAAACAUAUUACCGAAGCUGUGGAUUGUCCUUUGGACAAUGGUAGGAGAGCGUUCUAAGGGCGUUGAAGCAUGAUCGUAAGGACAUGUGGAGCGCUUAGAAGUGAGAAUGCCGGUGUGAGUAGCGAAAGACGGGUGAGAAUCCCGUCCACCGAUUGACUAAGGUUUCCAGAGGAAGGCUCGUCCGCUCUGGGUUAGUCGGGUCCUAAGCUGAGGCCGACAGGCGUAGGCGAUGGAUAACAGGUUGAUAUUCCUGUACCACCUAUA